UUGUCCAGCAGCCCGUCCCUGCCUGGCUGAGGAGCGGGAGGCAGCUGCCGCCAGCCGGGCUUCGAGGAGCAGGGCGGCCUCCCAGCCGCUCCCCCAGGGAGGCGCUCGUCCGCGCAGGAUACUGGCUUGGUGGCUCUUGAUAUGCCAAUCAGUCCUGCCUAGAUCUCACCUCCGUCAUGAUUUCAGAGGAUCAGAGGCCUUCAUGACAGAAGUACUAGUGGCAUUAUUCUGUCUACCAGAUUUUAUCAGGGUCCAUAGUCACGAUGGUGACUAUGCAAGACUACUCUCAUCCCUCCUCCUGAAUGCUGUCUGCAAGAGGCUUGCAGCGCUCUUGGCCAGGAAGCAGAGAAAAACAUAGUUAGCAACUUCUUAUGUCUUUGGAGGCUCAAAGAGGCCACCAUGAGCUGUGCCAUCAGUAGGAGCAAAUUACAAUGGCUGCUCCAUGUCAGCAAUGGGAAAACUGUCUGUUCAGCUUCCCAGGAGCAGUCAAGGGCACCUUUUAUCCUACUCUUUAGUUGGACAAAGAAACUGCUUAGGGACAAACCAAUAUUGUGGAAGGAGAGAGAUGACAUUGGUCCUUAUAACCAAAAGAGAGGAAACAAACAAACACUUUAGACAUAUCAUUUACUGGAUCAUCAUUUGGCCUAGGUCACAGCAAGUGGAACGCACCAGAUCGAGGCUUCUCUGCAGUUGCUCCUGAGACCUGCCCUUGAUGAGCUAGUCAUUGAGAUACGGGAAGACCUGGACCCCUCGGAAUCUCAGGGGCUGAAUGUAACAGGAAAUUGAACGCUCUUUACUGCUUAUGUAAUGCUGACAGACCCUUGUUGACGGUGGGUGAGACUGAACCUGGGAUUUCUGGAGCUUAGUGCAUGAGCCUCUACUGCAUGAGCUAAAAGCCAUAUGCCUGUUAGCUAAGGCUGUAGAGCAGACUCAAUCUCUCUCUAAGUGGUCUCAGUGCCACUAGAUGGGACAGAACACCAUACCCGGAAGGUGUUUGGGUUACACUUAUACCACAGAAGUGUUCUCCUUUGGUGGAAUGAAUGCAUAAAUCACCUUAGCUAAACUCACAAGAUUUGUAUGGCACAACGGAAGUGAAGAGAAAGAGUUGAAACCUGAUGGGCUCUGUCAUUUGGUGGACACCCGUGUACCAAUUCAUCACUCCUUGCACACUUGUAAAAAUAAUUAAAUAGAAAAGUUCAUUUUGCUCCUUUUUGCAUGGCUGCACCAGUAUUUCAUGUAUAUCAUUAGGAGCUUAUUUAUAUGACUUUCGU
Molecule: long non-coding RNA, 1271 nt
Organism: Mauremys mutica (yellowpond turtle)
Lineage: Eukaryota; Metazoa; Chordata; Testudines; Geoemydidae
Exons: 6
Source: RefSeq, a predicted model, not a curated record